RNAcentral lists this unclassified non-coding RNA (311 nucleotides) under Hevea brasiliensis (rubber tree). Lineage: Eukaryota; Viridiplantae; Streptophyta; Magnoliopsida; Malpighiales; Euphorbiaceae. The record is from RNAcentral.
GGACAAUGUGUGUGAAACAAUACCUCAACUCACUAUUUCGCUUAGGAUAACAAAAUGCAAAACUGAUUUUCCGUCUAGGAGUUCUGCAAGGAUGUGUCUUCUGGAAAUUCAUUUAUAAGCAUCUUGCAGUGUAUAUUUUGCGUAAUUGUUAUUGCGCUUCCCUUUUUUGUUUGCUAAAUAGCUGAUGUAAAUGCAUGCCGCCUGAAAGUUCACCUCUCAUAGCAGUAUUUUAUAUGGAUUAAAGCCAUCCAAAAAGAAGGGUUCUCUAUUUGCUGAUAUUCUUUUGACUUGAAUAAACCAAACAUGAGUGU